Molecule: ribosomal RNA, 459 nt
Filed under: uncultured bacterium
Lineage: Bacteria
Description: SSU rRNA
Rfam family: Bacterial small subunit ribosomal RNA
Source: RNAcentral
AGAAUCAACGCUGGCGGCGUGCCUAACACAUGCAAGUCGAACGAGAAAGGGUAGCAAUACCUGAGUAAAGUGGCGCACGGGUGAGUAACACGUGACUAACCUACCCUGGAGUGGGGGAUAACUGAGGGAAACCUUAGCUAAUACCGCAUAAUACCUACGGGUCAAAGGAGCAAUUCGCUUCAGGAGGGGGUCGCGGCCGAUUAGUUAGUUGGCGGGGUAAUGGCCCACCAAGACGAUGAUCGGUAUCCGGCCUGAGAGGGCGCACGGACACACUGGAACUGAAACACGGUCCAGACUCCUACGGGAGGCAGCAGUGGGGAAUUUUGCGCAAUGGGGGAAACCCUGACGCAGCAACGCCGCGUGGAGGAUGAAGUCCUUCGGGACGUAAACUCCUUUCGAUCGGGACGAUUAUGACGGUACCAGAAGAAGAAGCCCGGCUAACUUCGCGCCAGCAGCCGC